Molecule: ribosomal RNA, 495 nt
Filed under: uncultured Glomeromycotina
Lineage: Eukaryota; Fungi; Glomeromycota
Description: partial small subunit ribosomal RNA
Rfam family: Eukaryotic small subunit ribosomal RNA
Source: RNAcentral
CCAAUAGCGUAUAUUAAAGUUGUUGUGGUUAAAAAGCUCGUCGUUGAACCUUGGGCCUGGCUGGCCGGUCCGCCUCACCGCGUGUACUGGUCCGGCCGGGCCUUUCCCUCUGUGGAACCCCAUGCCCUUCACUGGGUGUGGCGGGGAAACAGGACUUUUACUGUGAAAAAAUUAGAGUGCUCCAGGCAGGCCUAUGCUCGAAUACAUUAGCAUGGAAUAAUAGAAUAGGACGUGUGGUUCUAUUUUGUUGGUUUCUAGGACCGCCGUAAUGAUUAAUAGGGACAGUCGGGGGCAUCAGUAUUCAAUUGUCAGAGGUGAAAUUCUUGGAUUUAUUGAAGACUAACUACUGCGAAAGCAUUUGCCAAGGAUGUUUUCAUUAAUCAGGAACGAAAGUUAGGGGAUCGAAGACGAUCAGAUACCGUCGUAGUCUUAACCAUAAACUAUGCCGACUAGGGAUCGGACGGUGUUAUUUUUUGACCCGUUCGGCACCUUACG